This 377-nucleotide long non-coding RNA is filed under the name Hordeum vulgare. RNAcentral describes it as "long non-coding RNA (HVUL_LNC004447)". Lineage: Eukaryota; Viridiplantae; Streptophyta; Magnoliopsida; Poales; Poaceae. The record is from RNAcentral.
GCUACUGUCGGCAUAAUUCCAACUGUGAGAGGACACUUAAGUAGACCAUGUACUGGUUUGAGACAGAACUCACAUAAUUCCGCCGUACAUUCGGACACAAAGUGACCAUUCUCACCACAUCGGUAGCACGUCAUCUUUUCCUUCUUGCACGCCCACUUAGAUGGUCUAUCUCCCCCAUCUGAUUUAACAAUAGUGUUGUCCUUGAGCUGAGUCGGACCCUCAGCAUCUCCAGGCCCCGGUAGUAACGCAGCAGCAGGGCUCCCAGACCGCCCCUGAACCUGCACCUCCGCUAUUGGUUCAAGAACCUCAGGAGUUGGCAGCGAAUGCUUAGACUUUCUGCCUCCGCCUCGAGCAGCCCAAUUCUGCCUAUAGCCCCC